UAUGUGAUCGUCUCUCGCAUAUCAAUAAGCGGAGGAAAAGAAACUAACAAGGAUUCCCCUAGUAACGGCGAGUGAAGCGGGAAGAGCUCAAAUUUGAAAUCUUAAAGGGUUUCCCUUUACGAAUUGUAGUUUAAAGAAGUGUUUUCUGUUGAGGUUUUGGUAAAAGUUCUUUGGAAUAGGACAUCAUAGAGGGUGAGAAUCCCGUAUUUGACCUUUACUUUCAACUUUGUGAUACACUUUCAAAGAGUCGGAUUGUUUGGGAAUGCAGUCCAAAAUGGGUGGUAAAUUUCAUCUAAAGCUAAAUAUUGGCGAGAGACCGAUAGCGAACAAGUACCGUGAGGGAAAGAUGAAAAGAACUUUGAAAAGAGAGUUAAACAGUACGUGAAAUUGUCAAAGGGAAGCGUUUGACACCAGUGUUGUUUUUCUGAAAAUCAAUUAAAGAACUGUUUAUGCUAAGUUGUUUAGACUUUAUCAGCUAAUCUGUUUAGUUUUGAGCUUUUCUUUAAUGCACUUUUCAGUUAACAAGUCAACAUCAAUUUCUUUUGCUGUAAAAAAGCUUGAGGAAGGUGGCUUGAGAUUCGUCUUAAGUGUUUAUAGCCUCUUGCCUAUGCGGUCGGAGAGAUUGAGGUCUGCAGUGUAGAUCCUUCGGGGCUAAAUGCAUUUGUGCUAAGUUAUAGCAUUUUAUAGACAACUUGUUGACUAUGAUUUGUCUUGUAGCUUACUCGCUUAUGUUAUUUUACCUACGCUUAGGAUGUUGAUCUACAGAGCGAGAGU
This 774-nucleotide ribosomal RNA is filed under the name uncultured Neocallimastigales. Its description in RNAcentral is "partial large subunit ribosomal RNA". It matches the Rfam family "Eukaryotic large subunit ribosomal RNA", at positions 24 to 635 of the family's 3401-position model. Lineage: Eukaryota; Fungi; Neocallimastigomycota; Neocallimastigomycetes; Neocallimastigales. The record is from RNAcentral.